This is a non-coding RNA of Heligmosomoides polygyrus, 45 nucleotides long. NCBI's taxonomy places the organism in Eukaryota, Metazoa, Nematoda, Chromadorea, Rhabditida, Heligmosomidae. The record is from Rfam.
CCAACGGCCCUCUUUAGGGCCACAUAUCUGCUACACGAAUCGAAA